Molecule: ribosomal RNA, 229 nt
Filed under: uncultured bacterium
Lineage: Bacteria
Description: partial 16S ribosomal RNA
Rfam family: Bacterial small subunit ribosomal RNA
Source: RNAcentral
AAAUCUGCCUCCAAAUCUGGAAUAGCUCUGCCAACGCGGAAUUAAUGCCGGAUGUGGUUACCAAGUCGCAUGGCGUGGUAACUAAAGGUGACCUCUUCUUUGAAAGUUACCGUUUGGAGAUGAUCUUGCGGCCCAUUAGCUUGUUGGUGAGGUAACGGCCCACCAAGGCUACGAUGGGUAGCCGGCCUGAGAGGGUGAUCGGCCACAUUGGGACUGAGAUACGGCCCAG